Salvelinus namaycush (lake trout) is the source of this 134-nucleotide small nucleolar RNA. RefSeq annotates it as small nucleolar RNA SNORA44. The transcript has a single exon. NCBI's taxonomy places the organism in Eukaryota, Metazoa, Chordata, Actinopteri, Salmoniformes, Salmonidae. The record is from RefSeq and is a predicted model, not a curated record.
CAGCAUGCUAUCCUAAGGACCUUGGCUCUGUCUGUAGCCUCCGGUUCUCCAAGUGCAUGCCAGAGUACCGGGGGGAGUCUUUGACUGUCCUGGCCUCUCCGUGCCUGAGGCAGUCACUCAACUGUCCUACAGAU